CCUACGGGUGGCAGCAGUGAGGAAUAUUGGUCAAUGGACGAGAGUCUGAACCAGCCAAGUAGCGUGAAGGAUGACUGCCCUAUGGGUUGUAAACUUCUUUUAUAUGGGAAUAAAAUGCUGUAUGUGUGCUACUUUGCAUGUACCUUAUGAAUAAGGAUCGGCUAACUCCGUGCCAGCAGCCGCGGUAAUCCGGAGGAUCCGAGCGUUAUCCGGAUUUAUUGGGUUUAAAGGGAGCGUAGGCGGAUUGUUAAGUCAGUUGUGAAAGUUUGCGGCUCAACCGUAAAAUUGCAGUUGAAACUGGCAUUCUUGAGUACAGUAGAGGUAGGCGGAAUUCGUGGUGUAGCGGUGAAAUGCUUAGAUAUCACGAAGAACUCCGAUUGUGAAGGCAGCUCGCUGGACUGCAACUGACACUGAGGCUCGAAAGUGUGGGUAUCAAACAGGAUUAGAUACCCCUGUAGUC
Molecule: ribosomal RNA, 460 nt
Filed under: uncultured bacterium
Lineage: Bacteria
Description: partial 16S ribosomal RNA
Rfam family: Bacterial small subunit ribosomal RNA
Source: RNAcentral